Molecule: ribosomal RNA, 404 nt
Filed under: uncultured bacterium
Lineage: Bacteria
Description: bacterial SSU rRNA
Rfam family: Bacterial small subunit ribosomal RNA
Source: RNAcentral
UAGGGAAUAUUGCUUAAUGGGCGAAAGCCUGAAGCAGCAACGCCGCGUGUGCGAUGAAGGCCUUCGGGUUGUAAAGCACUUUUUGAGGGGAUGAGGAAGGACAGUACCCUCAGAAUAAGCCUCGGCUAACUACGUGCCAGCAGCCGCGGUAAAACGUAGGAGGCAAGCGUUAUCCGGAUUUACUGGGCGUAAAGCGCGUGCAGGCGGCUCGAAAAGUUGGAUGUGAAAGCUCCUGGCUUAACUGGGAGAGGUCGUUCAAUACUUUCGGGCUAGAGGAUGGGAGAGGGAGGUGGAAUUCCGGGUGUAGUGGUGAAAUGCGUAGAUAUCCGGAGGAACACCAGUGGCGAAGGCGGCCUCCUGGCCCAUUUCUGACGCUCAGACGCGAAAGCUAGGGUAGCAAACGG